Molecule: ribosomal RNA, 1701 nt
Filed under: Bacillus cereus K-5975c
Lineage: Bacteria; Bacillati; Bacillota; Bacilli; Caryophanales; Bacillaceae
Description: partial 23S ribosomal RNA
Rfam family: Bacterial small subunit ribosomal RNA (bases 1632-1701)
Source: RNAcentral
AGAAGAUAUCGAAAUGUUACAAGACUUAGUGUUAGCUGCAACAAAUGAUGCACUUAAAAAGGCCGAUGAGCUAUCAAACUCUACAAUGGGUAAAUUUACAAAAGGCUUAAACUUACCAGGUGGAAUGUUCUAGGGGGAUAUUGAUACAUGCAUUAUCCAGAGCCAAUAUCAAAACUAAUCGAUAGUUUUAUGAAGUUGCCAGGUAUCGGACCGAAAACAGCGGUUCGAUUGGCAUUUUUCGUAUUAGAUAUGAAAGAAGAUGAUGUGUUAGGUUUUGCGAAAGCACUUGUAAAUGCGAAGCGAGAUUUAGCGUAUUGUUCUGUAUGUGGACAUAUUACUGAUCGUGAUCCUUGUUAUAUUUGUAAUGAUUCGCAUCGAGAUCAAUCAGUUGUUUGUGUCGUGCAAGAACCGAAAGAUGUAAUCGCGAUGGAAAAAAUGAAAGAGUAUCAAGGUGUAUAUCAUGUGUUACGUGGUGCGAUUUCUCCUAUGGAGGGAAUUGGACCGGAAGACAUUAAUAUCCCGCAACUCUUAAAGCGACUACAUGAUGAAACGGUACAAGAAGUAAUAUUAGCAACAAACCCUAAUAUUGAAGGGGAAGCUACAGCGAUGUAUAUCUCCCGCCUCUUAAAACCUACAGGCAUUAAAGUAACUCGUAUUGCACAUGGUCUGCCAGUUGGUGGAGAUUUAGAAUAUGCAGAUGAAGUGACACUAUCGAAAGCGUUAGAAGGUCGCAGAGAAGUAUAAGAGGAGAAACAAAAAUGUUCUUUCAAAAAAAGGGUAAAUUGCGUAAAGAGUAUGAUGAUAAGUUAAUUGUACUUUUGGAAAAAGUGAAGAAUGAGUGGUUACGUCAGAAGAGAAUGGUUGAACAAAGUGUAGAACCAUCUCAAGAUGUCAUUUGUUCUUUGAAGAUAGCAGAGGCGAAAUAUUUCUUCUUGUUGAAAGAAGCAAAGCGUCGUCCUGUAAAAAUGGAACAAUGGUAAAGGGUUCUGCUUUCUAAGCAGGCCUUUUUAUUUUAUUUGUUAAAAUGCUGAGGUGUUGUUUCAUUUUGUUUAUAUGAAAGAGAUGUCGCUUAUGAUAACUGUUCUUUUUUAUUGUCUUGUCCCAUACAAAUAGAUGUAUAGGUCAUUCAUAAGGAGGAAAAGAUGAAUUCUACAAUUAUUAUUGUUGGCAUUCUUACUUUAGUGUUUAUUUUUCUUGUUUUUGGUGUUGCCUCUAAGCCAUUGCGUUUUAUAGGUAAGGUGAUUUUUCAUGUUACUUUAGGCAUAGCGUUGCUUUUUAUCGUAAAUGUUGUAGGGACAUAUUUUGAUUUUCAUAUCCCGAUUAACAUGGGUACAGCAGCAAUAACGAGUUUAUUAGGCCUACCGGGUGUGGCAGCAUUAGUGAUUAUUAAGCUUUAUAUUAUGCCAAGAUAAAAUUAUUUUGGCGUUUUUUUUAAAAGUGUUGACUAUUAAAUGAUUAGUAUGGUAAAUUAAUAAGCGUCGUCAGGAACGAAAGAAAAAAGUUGUUGACAGAUUUAACGAGAAAUGUUAAAUUAUAAAAGUCGCUGAAACGCGAUAUUGAACUUUGAAAACUAAACGAAACAAACAACGUGAAACGUCAAUUUUUAUUUUUAGAUGCUAGACAAACUAACUUUAUUGGAGAGUUUGAUCCUGGCUCAGGAUGAACGCUGGCGGCGUGCCUAAUACAUGCAAGUCGAGCGAA